GUGUGUUUGGGGGUGGGGUGGGGAGAUGGGUCUCUGUUAGCAACUAUACAAAUUCAGGGCCAUUACUACUAUUGCAGAUCAAAACAACUCAGAUCCGAGAGACCCCAUAGACAGACACUGUAUAUUCCCAAUGAUGGAGGCCUGCCCAAUGCCUGCGCGGUGGGAGAGGGUCCUGAAGACCCGGGAGGCCAGUUCUCGCGGACUGGUCUUGGGAUCAACGUCUCCUUUGGCGAAGUGAAGAGCACAGGCCUCCAGGCCCAGGCGCCAUCGCCCGGAGGACAGCCGCCCUGGGCCCCGGGGUUCCGCGACUUUUCUCAGAAGCCCCGCAGCGGGGCCAGAGCACCGAGCUAGCCAGCCACGGGGACACCAGUUUCCGCAGCUACCGCCCCUCCAGUGCUGGCUCGGACUUGGGCCUCGUGCUGGAGCGGAAACUCUUAACCUCACCCUGGCUCUCUGAUGGAGGAAAGACAGCAGGAACCAAAGAGUUGGCAGCGAGAGCCGAGCCACUGCCUCUCCCUGCUCGGUCGGCCUGUGCUCUGCAGCCCCAGCUGUGCGAGGCGCGGGGGCCAGGGCGCGGGGACUCGCCGCCCUCCCCACAGACCCAGCCGGGCGCUCUCGGCUCCUCCAGGGUCCCGACCCGCAACCUCGCCGCUCCCCGUAAGGGCCGGGCGAGGAAGGCUCUCCUGGGCCGGAGGCCAGGGCGGGACAGCACCGCGGGACCCCGGAGCCCCCAGUAAGGCGGAGACUUGGACCCUGCUUCUGAAAACGCUAGUCUCCUCCAGGAUUUGUCAAGUCCAAAGCAGCUUCGGGAAGGCUUCGCGGGCUGUCGGGGGGAAACCCACUAUGUGGCUCACCCCUGCUGGUCACUCUCAAGUCUUCGCCUUGCAGCUUCUCCCACUCCUGAGCCCCCGCCCUCUCCGGGUCCCGGGCCGCGCGGGCAGAGCCCGCCAAAGGAGGAGCGCGGUUUUAGGCAGAGCGAAGGAGCCCCCUGCUGGCCAGACGCCGCAGGAGCGGCUCCCGCUCCCACUUCCCUCUCCCCGGGGGCGCGGCCCCGCUGGCGGCCACUACUACUCUCCUGGGACCCUCUAUGCUGGGGGGUUGUUUAAAGAAACCGAAAACAUAACAACAACAACAACAACAACAACAACAAAAAAGAAAACAAAUCAUGCGCCCAAACCCACUCUCAUCUCAUCUAUUGGUCAAAGGGCUAUUGCUGGGGCUUGGUGCUGGCACUAUGAAUCACUACUUCUGGCGGCCAUUUUUUCCAUUUUUAUUGGAUAGGACAGAAAGAAAGCACUGUAAGACAUAUGCUCAACUAAAUUCAUCAUGCCUUUUCUGAAAAUCCAGAAGUUCACCUGUGAGAAUGUCUGCUCUUCACAAUAGGAACAGUUCCUGGUACACCACAUGGAAGUGUUGUGGCAGGCACUGGAGGAGACUGGUUCAAGCUCUGUCAUGAAAAUGAUCUACUAUCACUAAAACCAGCUUGAAAAAGAAAUAGAUUUUCCAUGUGCUUCAGAAAGGGUGGGAAUCCAACAUCCUUUCUUGAUCAAAACAUUGCAAAAAUGGGAAUGGGUGGAAAAUUCCUUAACCCAGUGGAGUUUGUAUACAGCAAAUCUAUAGCCAACAUCAUAAUCAGUGGUGAAAAACCAACACAACAUCACAACAGCAGCAACAACAAAAAAUGGCACCACCAUAUAAUGGGGAGAAGAUAUGAAUAGAAUAUUCAUCAAAGAAGAGCUCUAAAAAUCCAACAGACAUAUGAAAAAGUGGUCCAACUCAUUGAUUGUUGAAAUGCAAAUAAAGACAAUAAUGAGAAACCACUUCAACCCUGUGAUUAUGUCAUAUAUCAGAAAGUAUAAUAACAAAUGCUGGAGAGGUUGUGGGGACAAAGGAAUCAUUUUUUGCUGCUGAUAGGAAUGCAAAUUGAUCCAAACCCUGUAGAAAGCGGUCUAAAGAACUCUCGAAAGGCUAGAAACAUACCUACCCAAUGACCUGGCAAUCUCUCUCCUCUUUUGAAAUGUCAAAAAAAACCAAAACAAAACAAAUGACAUUUUUGAUAACUGUAAUCACUGUACAAUGUUAACAACAACAGAUUCAUAACAACCUUAUUCCUAAACCUUCAAUAUAUGCUCUAAUAUUACUAUAACUGGCUUUUCUUCCUGAACUUUUUCUUUUUUUAUAUAUUUUUUAUUAUUAUUAUUUUAUUUAAGAAAGGAUUAAUUAACAAAACCGUAGGGUAGGAGGGGUACAACUCCACACAAUUCCCACCACCCAAUCUCCAUAUCCCACCCCCUCCCCUGAUAGCUUUCCCAUUUUUCCAUCCCUCUGGGAGCAUGGACCCAGGGUCUUUGUGGGUUGCAGAAGGUAGAAGGUCUGGCUUCUGUAAUUGCUUCCCCGCUGAACAUGGGCGUUGACUGGUCGGUCCAUACUCCCAGUGUGCCUCUCUCUUUCCCUAGUAGGGUGUGUCUCUGGGAAAGCUGAGCUCCAGGACACAUUGGUGGGGUCUUCAAACCAGGGAAGCCUGGCCAGCAUCCUGGUGGCAUCUGGAACCUGGUGACUGAAAAGAGAGUUAACAUACGAAGCCAAACAAAUUGUUGAGCAAUCAUGGACCCAAAACUUGGAAUAGUGGAGAGGAAGUGUUAGGGAGGUACUCACUGCAAACUCUAGUGUACU
Molecule: RNA transcript, 2673 nt
Organism: Erinaceus europaeus (western European hedgehog)
Lineage: Eukaryota; Metazoa; Chordata; Mammalia; Eulipotyphla; Erinaceidae
Exons: 5
Source: RefSeq, a predicted model, not a curated record